AUUGAACGCUGGCGGCAGGCCUAACACAUGCAAGUCGAGCGGAUGAAGGGAGCUUGCUCCUGGAUUCAGCGGCGGACGGGUGAGUAAUGCCUAGGAAUCUGCCUGGUAGUGGGGGAUAACGUCCGGAAACGGGCGCUAAUACCGCAUACGUCCUGAGGGAGAAAGUGGGGGAUCUUCGGAUCUCACGCUAUCAGAUGAGCCUAGGUCGGAUUAGCUAGUUGGUGGGGUAAAGGCCUACCAAGGCGACGAUCCGUAACUGGUCUGAGUGGAUGAUCAGUCACACUGGAACUGAGGCACGGUCCAGACUCCUACGGGGGGCAACAGUGGGGAAUAUUGGGCAAUGGGCGAAAGCCUGAUCCAGCCAUGCCGCGUGUGUGAAGAAGGUCUUCGGAUUGGAAAGCACUUUAAGUUGGGAGGAAGGACAGUAAGUUUAUACCUUGCUGUUUUGACGUUACCAACAGAAUAAGCACCGGCUAACUUCGUG
Molecule: ribosomal RNA, 484 nt
Filed under: uncultured bacterium
Lineage: Bacteria
Description: partial 16S ribosomal RNA
Rfam family: Bacterial small subunit ribosomal RNA
Source: RNAcentral